GGCCUGCAGAUUCCUUACCCCUAAGAUCUAAACAUUGGUUUGAAUGACUAUCAAAGGAGGAAAUGUAUUACUGAAGUGGAUUUGGAUUCUGUAUUCAUGUACAAGCUCAUUUCAAACAACA
RNAcentral lists this small nucleolar RNA (121 nucleotides) under Echinops telfairi (small Madagascar hedgehog). Its description in RNAcentral is "Small nucleolar RNA SNORA61 (ENSETEG00000026429.1)". The record is from RNAcentral. Lineage: Eukaryota; Metazoa; Chordata; Mammalia; Afrosoricida; Tenrecidae.